GGUUUUAUUCAUGUCGUCAACAAUGACUACAAUCACUGGUUCCUGUAUGCCAUUGGCGGCACCAGCAAUCCUACAAUUAUCAGCCAGGGAAAUAGGUAUUCAGCGCCAGGCUUUGGGGCUAAAGAGGUGACCUGUAGGGGCCUCUUAAAGCCGGGACAGUGGAAGAAUUGGAAUUGGGUAUCACAAGGUGACCACUUCGAGAACGGUGCCUUUUUUACACCAUCAGGUAAUCCAAGUGCCAGCAAGCAAUUUGGCGCCGACAAAAUGAUGCCUUUCAAACCUGGUCAAAUGGUCCCCGAACUCACAAAGUAUGCCGGACCACUAAGCUGCACAAUCGGCCGUCCUUGCUAAAAACUGCUAUUUUUAUAUGCAUAUGUCCUCCCUUUUUUACGUACAAUAUUUGAUACCCAAGCAUAGUACAUUUGGUAUCUUUUCUGAAUGAUUGUCAGUAAAUUUUCUUUUAUGCGAUCCCACCCUAUUCUCUUCUUCUCUCCUAGUAAUAGAUAAUCACAAUUUUUUUCUCACGCGUAACUGUGGAAAUCAUAAAUUUAGAACAUAAAUGUUUGUUUGAAAAUAACAUAUAAUGAAUAAUGAAAUGUGUGGUUUGAAAUAAAGUAACAAUAAUAACAUUGAUUAUCAUGGUGUUUUCAUCAAUCUUUAGUUGGUGUAGGCACCAAAUCAAUCAAAUACAUUAAUCUAACAUAUCUAGUAUAUAUAUUCUAUUGCAAGGUUUUUUUGGAUUUGUGGAAACCUUCAGUUUGAAGUGAGUUUAGAAUUCGCUAUGCGUCACCAAUCAUUUCAUGACAGGAAUGGAAAUUAAUGAAAUAAAAUAUUUGGUUAGAACUAAAGUUGCGUAAUUAAUUAAAAAUUUUAACAAUCGCGAGACCAUUUAGUUUCUAUAAAUUUUGUAUGUCCCAACUUACAUAUUCCGGGUAAUUAGUCAUUUGUCAAAACACAUCAAAGUGAGAAAAGAAAGAAACAAGAAUCAUGAGUCAUUCCUCAUAUAGUAAUAUUCGUAAUAAUGCAAUCGCAACGGUGAUUCCACCAGGUGUUCUUGCAUCACCAAGAACUAAAUUGAUUUUCUAGAACAAGAUUUAUAAUGGAGACAUCAAGUAUGUAUUUAAGGUUGUGUAUGAGUUAGAUUUCUUUAAGACUCAGCGGAGGGUCGGGGAGCCGCCCAAGACAUUGCUUUUACCAGUAUAAAGUCAACUACCGAAGCAAAAAAACUUGCAAAGCUGAGAGGACAUAGGAUUAAUAAUUCAGCACCUAUGUUUUGAGUUGCUCCAUAGUUGACGCAGUGGUAUUAGCUUAGUAAGGGCUUAAAUAAUCGUAUAGAUAUUUAUAAUUGAUGGACAUAAUAAAGUAUGCUUAACAAAUUUGAAAAUCAAAAAAGAAAAUCAAUGUCUUGGUACAGUGUUAAAUUUAUGGUUUUACUAGCAUAAUAAUUGAUUUGGGUUCAAAUCCCUUCGACAACAUAUUUUAUAUUCUUUUAAAACAAUAAGAAUUAAAAUAACCUUCAAUAAUAUAACUUAUUUUAAACAUGAAAGGAAUGUAUUUCUAAUUUCCGUAAUAGAGUCGAUGCUCGAUCGACUCAUGUCACCGAAUUAGUUAAGGACUUCAAUAAAUGUUAGUAUAGAUUGUAACAAUAAUGAAAUAUGCAUUAAAAAUCACCACAGAGGUUCAAUAUACACUCGAAUCUCUGUACUCUUUUAGACUUUUAAAAUUUGAAUACAUAGUACUUUUAUAUUCAAAGGUCCAAGUAAUAAAUUAGAGUCCAAUUCAUAUCACAUAUUCAGAUUUGAGAGAAAUAAAUAAACUCUCUUACCAAUUGAACUUUUAUUUUUUAAAUCAACCAAGUGCAAGGAUUAAAAUCUUGAAAUUGAAAGGAGAGAGGUUUCAUCUGGAAAUGUUGAAGAGUAAAGGGAUUGGAGGAUAAUUAGAGAUUUUUUUUUGUAAUUUCUGAAAUUAGACGUUUAGAAUGGUCUAAAAAAUACAAGAAAACCUCAACUGUUUCUAUCCAAAAAAAGGAAACAAAAUCCAACCAUUUUUUACGCACUUGAAACACUAGUAGCCAAGUGUGUUUUGUAAAUUUGGAAAUUUUCAUGAAUCCCGGUGUACUAUAAAUAGUGACAUAAUGAUGGUGUUCCAAGCAAAUCAUGCUCGAGUUCAAGUUUUUGGUGCCGUAGCUUGUCUCUCCUGUCCUAUUAGGGUCCUGUUUGCAUCCAACCAGUUGUUUCCAAGAGCUAGGCUUUGAUACUUAAAAUAAGAACCACUAUGGGUAUUUCUAGUUAUAGUUUCUUUCUGUUUUUAUUUGUUGUCAUAAUCCCAACCCUAGAAGCUCAUAUCGCUGAGUAUGACGAGUACUGGACGGCACGAGAAUUGGAAGCCAUUGAGAACCUGGACAAGGCCUAUCACUCCAACCCGGAGGAGGUGGUCCGCCAUUACAAUGACCACUUCUCUAGGACCAUGCUCGAGUUUUAUAUCACCAAAAGGGUGUUGGCAGAAUCAAAAAAGGGUCCCUGUGAGGUUACCAACCACGUUGACAGUUGCUGGCGAUGUGAUCCUGACUGGGAAAAGAAUAGGAAGAAGUUGGCCAACUGUGCCCCUGGAUUUGCUCGAGGUACUACCGGUGGAAAGGAUGGUGAGUUUUACGUGGUCACUGACCCUAUUGAUAAUGCUGCUGACCCCAAGCCUGGAACUCUGCGUCAUGCUGUCACCCAAACUGGACCACUUUGGAUCACUUUCAAAGGGUCCAUGACCAUCAAGCUGCAACAGGAGCUCAUUGUUACAAGUGAUAAGACCAUUGAUGCGAGGGGAGCCAAUGUGGAAAUUUGUAAUGGUGCUGGUAUCACUAUCCAAUUUGUGAAGAAUAUCAUUAUCCAUGGCCUUCAAAUCCAUCACAUUAUUCCCGCCAAGGGUGGCAAGAUCAAGGAUGGUGAAAACCACCAUGGGUUACGGGGUGACAGCGACGGAGACGGGGUGUCUAUUUUUGGAUCAACCAAUGUUUGGCUUGACCAUCUUGCCCUUCACCAUUGCGCCGAUGGCCUUAUCGAUGUCGUUCAAGGAUCAACUGCCGUUACCGUUUCUAACUGCCACUUCACUGACCAUAACGAUGUAAGCUUACUUUCCUUUCAAUUUUAAACUACGCACGAUGAGGAAUUUUUUGAUUGACAAAAAUAAUACAAUUGAAAUGAAAAAAAUUACAGGUGAUGUUGUUUGGAGCAAGCGACUCUUACAGUGCCGACAAGAAGAUGCAGGUCACUGUUGCUUUGAACCACUUCGGUAAAGGAUUGGUAGAGAGGAUGCCUAGGUGCCGAUUUGGUUUUAUUCAUGUCGUCAACAAUGACUACAAUCACUGGUUCCUGUAUGCCAUUGGCGGCACCAGCAACCCUACAAUUAUCAGCCAGGGAAAUAGGUAUUCAGCGCCAGGCUUUGGGGCUAAAGAGGUGACCUGUAGGGGCCUCUUAAAGCCGGGACAGUGGAAGAAUUGGAAUUGGGUAUCACAAGGUGACCACUUCGAGAACGGUGCCUUCUUUACACCAUCAGGUAAUCCAAGUGCCAGCAAGCAAUUUGGCGCCGACAAAAUGAUGCCUUUCAAACCUGGUCAAAUGGUCCCCGAGCUCACAAAGUAUGCCGGACCACUAAGCUGCACAAUCGGCCGUCCUUGCUAAAAAUGCUAUUUUUAUAUGCAUUUGUCCUCCCUUUUUUACGUACAAUAUUUGAUACCCAAGCAUAGUACAUUUGGUAUCUUUUCUGAAUGAUUGUCAGUAAAUUUUCUUUUAUGCGAUCCCACCCUAUUCUCUUCUUCUCUCCUAGUAAUAGAUAAUCACAAUUUUUUUCUCACGCGUGACUGUGGAAAUCAUAAAUUUAGAACAUAAAUGUUUGUUUGAAAAUAACAUAUAAUGAAUAAUGAAAUGUGUGGUUUGAAAUAAAGUAACAAUAAUAACAUUGAUUAUCAUGGUGUUUUCAUCAAUCUUUAGUUGGUGUAGGCACCAAAUCAAUCAAAUACAUUAAUCUAACAUAUCUAGUAUAUAUAUUCUAUUGCAAGGUUUUUUUGGAUUUGUGGAAACCUUCAGUUUGAAGUGAGUUUAGAAUUCGCUAUGCGUCACCAAUCAUUUCAUGACAGCAAUGGAAAUUAAUGAAAUAAAAUAUUUGGUUAGAACUAAAGUUGCGUAAUUAAUUAAAAAUUUUAACAAUCGCGAGACCAUUUAGUUUCUAUAAAUUUUGCAUGUCCCAACUUACAUAUUCGGGUAAUUAGUCAUUUGUCAAAACACAUCAAAGUGAGAAAAGAAAGAAACAAGAAUCAUGGUCAUUCCUCAUAUAGUUAUAUUCGUAAUAAUGCAAUCGCAACGGUGAUUCCACCAGGUGUUCUUGCAUCACCAAGAACUAAAUUGAUUUUCUAGAACAAGAUUUAUAAUGGAGACAUCAAGUAUGUAUUUAAGGUGGUGUAUGAGUUAGAUUUCUUUAAGACUCAGCGGGGGUCGGGGAGCCGCCCAAGACAUUGCUUUUACCAGUAUAAAGUCAAAUACCGAAGCAAAAAAACUUGCAAAGCCGAGAGGACAUAGGAUUAAUAAUUCAGCACCUAUGUUUUGAGUUGCUCCAUAGUUGACGCGUGGUAUCAGCUUAGUAAGGGCUUAAAUAAUCGUAUAGAUAUUUAUAAUUGAUGGACAUAAUAAAGUAUGCUUAACAAAUUUGAAAAUCAAAAAAGAAAAUCAAUGUCUUGGUACAGUGUUAAAUUUAUGGUUUUACUAGCAUAAUAAUUGAUUUGGGUUCAAAUCCCUUCGACAACAUAUUUUAUAUUCUUUUAAAACAAUAAGAAUUAAAAUAACCUUCAAUAAUAUAACUUAUUUUAAACAUGACAGGAAUGUAUUUCUAAUUUCCGUAAUAGAGUCGAUGCUCGAUCGACUCAUGUCACCGAAUUAGUUAAGGACUUCAAUAAAUGUUAGUAUAGAUUGUAACAAUAAUGAAAUAUGCAUUAAAAAUCACCACAGAGGUUCAAUAUACACUCGAAUCUCUGUACUCUUUUAGACUUUUAAAAUUUGAAUACAUAGUGCUUUUAUAUUCAAAGGUCCAAGUAAUAAAUUAGAGUCCAAUUCAUAUCACAUAUUCAGAUUUGAGAGAAAUAAAUAAACUCUCUUACCAAUUGAACUUUUAUUUUUUAAAUCAACCAAGUGCAAGGAUUAAAAUCUUGAAAUUGAAAGGAGAGAGGUUUCAUCUGGAAAUGUUGAAGAGUAAAGGGAUUGGAGGAUAAUUAGAGAUUUUUUUUGUAAUUUCUGAAAUUAGACGUUUAGAAUGGUCUAAAAAAUGCAAGAAAACCUCAACUGUUUCUAUCCAAAAAAAAGGAAACAAAAUCCAACCAUUUUUUACGCACUUGAAACACUAGUAGCCAAGUGUGUUUUGUAAAUUUGGAAAUUUUCAUGAAUCCCGGUGUACUAUAAAUAGUGACAUAAUGAUGGUGUUCCAAGCAAAUCAUGCUCGAGUUCAAGUUUUUGGUGCCGUAGCUUGUCUCUCCUGUCCUAUUAGGGUCCUGUUUGCAUCCAACCAGUUGUUUCCAAGAGCUAGGCUUUGAUACUUAAAAUAAGAACCACUAUGGGUAUUUCUAGUUAUAGUUUCUUUCUGUUUUUAUUUGUUGUCAUAAUCCCAACCCUAGAAGCUCAUAUCGCUGAGUAUGACGAGUACUGGACGGCACGAGAAUUGGAAGCCAUUGAGAACCUGGACAAGGCCUAUCACUCCAACCCGGAGGAGGUGGUCCGCCAUUACAAUGACCACUUCUCUAGGACCAUGCUCGAGUUUUAUAUCACCAAAAGGGUGUUGGCAGAAUCAAAAAAGGGUCCCUGUGAGGUUACCAACCACGUUGACAGUUGCUGGCGAUGUGAUCCUGACUGGGAAAAGAAUAGGAAGAAGUUGGCCAACUGUGCCCCUGGAUUUGCUCGAGGUACUACCGGUGGAAAGGAUGGUGAGUUUUACGUGGUCACUGACCCUAUUGAUAAUGCUGCUGACCCCAAGCCUGGAACUCUGCGUCAUGCUGUCACCCAAACUGGACCACUUUGGAUCACUUUCAAAGGGUCCAUGACCAUCAAGCUGCAACAGGAGCUCAUUGUUACAAGUGAUAAGACCAUUGAUGCGAGGGGAGCCAAUGUGGAAAUUUGUAAUGGUGCUGGUAUCACUAUCCAAUUUGUGAAGAAUAUCAUUAUCCAUGGCCUUCAAAUCCAUCACAUUAUUCCCGCCAAGGGUGGCAAGAUCAAGGAUGGUGAAAACCACCAUGGGUUACGGGGUGACAGCGACGGAGACGGGGUGUCUAUUUUUGGAUCAACCAAUGUUUGGCUUGACCAUCUUGCCCUUCACCAUUGCGCCGAUGGCCUUAUCGAUGUCGUUCAAGGAUCAACUGCCGUUACCGUUUCUAACUGCCACUUCACUGACCAUAACGAUGUAAGCUUACUUUCCUUUCAAUUUUAAACUACGCACGAUGAGGAAUUUUUUGAUUGACAAAAAUAAUACAAUUGAAAUGAAAAAAAUUACAGGUGAUGUUGUUUGGAGCAAGCGACUCUUACAGUGCCGACAAGAAGAUGCAGGUCACUGUUGCUUUGAACCACUUCGGUAAAGGAUUGGUAGAGAGGAUGCCUAGGUGCCGAUUUGGUUUUAUUCAUGUCGUCAACAAUGACUACAAUCACUGGUUCCUGUAUGCCAUUGGCGGCACCAGCAACCCUACAAUUAUCAGCCAGGGAAAUAGGUAUUCAGCGCCAGGCUUUGGGGCUAAAGAGGUGACCUGUAGGGGCCUCUUAAAGCCGGGACAGUGGAAGAAUUGGAAUUGGGUAUCACAAGGUGACCACUUCGAGAACGGUGCCUUCUUUACACCAUCAGGUAAUCCAAGUGCCAGCAAGCAAUUUGGCGCCGACAAAAUGAUGCCUUUCAAACCUGGUCAAAUGGUCCCCGAGCUCACAAAGUAUGCCGGACCACUAAGCUGCACAAUCGGCCGUCCUUGCUAAAAAUGCUAUUUUUAUAUGCAUUUGUCCUCCCUUUUUUACGUACAAUAUUUGAUACCCAAGCAUAGUACAUUUGGUAUCUUUUCUGAAUGAUUGUCAGUAAAUUUUCUUUUAUGCGAUCCCACCCUAUUCUCUUCUUCUCUCCUAGUAAUAGAUAAUCACAAUUUUUUUCUCACGCGUGACUGUGGAAAUCAUAAAUUUAGAACAUAAAUGUUUGUUUGAAAAUAACAUAUAAUGAAUAAUGAAAUGUGUGGUUUGAAAUAAAGUAACAAUAAUAACAUUGAUUAUCAUGGUGUUUUCAUCAAUCUUUAGUUGGUGUAGGCACCAAAUCAAUCAAAUACAUUAAUCUAACAUAUCUAGUAUAUAUUCUAUUGCAAGGUUAUUUUGGAUUUGUGGAAACCUUCAGUUUGAAGUGAGUUUAGAAUUCGCUAUGCGUCACCAAUCAUUUCAUGACAGCAAUGGAAAUUAAUGAAAUAAAAUAUUUGGUUAGAACUAAAGUUGCGUAAUUAAUUAAAAAUUUUAACAAUCGCGAGACCAUUUAGUUUCUAUAAAUUUUGCAUGUCCCAACUUACAUAUUCGGGUAAUUAGUCAUUUGUCAAAACACAUCAAAGUGAGAAAAGAAAGAAACAAGAAUCAUGGUCAUUCCUCUAUAGUUAUAUUCGUAAUAAUGCAAUCGCAACGGUGAUUCCACCAGGUGUUCUUGCAUCACCAAGAACUAAAUUGAUUUUCUAGAACAAGAUUUAUAAUGGAGACAUCAAGUAUGUAUUUAAGGUGGUGUAUGAGUUAGAUUUCUUUAAGACUCAGCGGGGGUCGGGGAGCCGCCCAAGACAUUGCUUUUACCAGUAUAAAGUCAAAUACCGAAGCAAAAAAACUUGCAAAGCCGAGAGGACAUAGGAUUAAUAAUUCAGCACCUAUGUUUUGAGUUGCUCCAUAGUUGACGCGUGGUAUCAGCUUAGUAAGGGCUUAAAUAAUCGUAUAGAUAUUUAUAAUUGAUGGACAUAAUAAAGUAUGCUUAACAAAUUUGAAAAUCAAAAAAGAAAAUCAAUGUCUUGGUACAGUGUUAAAUUUAUGGUUUUACUAGCAUAAUAAUUGAUUUGGGUUCAAAUCCCUUCGACAACAUAUUUUAUAUUCUUUUAAAACAAUAAGAAUUAAAAUAACCUUCAAUAAUAUAACUUAUUUUAAACAUGACAGGAAUGUAUUUCUAAUUUCCGUAAUAGAGUCGAUGCUCGAUCGACUCAUGUCACCGAAUUAGUUAAGGACUUCAAUAAAUGUUAGUAUAGAUUGUAACAAUAAUGAAAUAUGCAUUAAAAAUCACCACAGAGGUUCAAUAUACACUCGAAUCUCUGUACUCUUUUAGACUUUUAAAAUUUGAAUACAUAGUGCUUUUAUAUUCAAAGGUCCAAGUAAUAAAUUAGAGUCCAAUUCAUAUCACAUAUUCAGAUUUGAGAGAAAUAAAUAAACUCUCUUACCAAUUGAACUUUUAUUUUUUAAAUCAACCAAGUGCAAGGAUUAAAAUCUUGAAAUUGAAAGGAGAGAGGUUUCAUCUGGAAAUGUUGAAGAGUAAAGGGAUUGGAGGAUAAUUAGAGAUUUUUUUUUGUAAUUUCUGAAAUUAGACGUUUAGAAUGGUCUAAAAAAUACAAGAAAACCUCAACUGUUUCUAUCCAAAAAAAAGGAAACAAAAUCCAACCAUUUUUUACGCACUUGAAACACUAGUAGCCAAGUGUGUUUUGUAAAUUUGGAAAUUUUCAUGAAUCCCGGUGUACUAUAAAUAGUGACAUAAUGAUGGUGUUCCAAGCAAAUCAUGCUCGAGUUCAAGUUUUUGGUGCCGUAGCUUGUCUCUCCUGUCCUAUUAGGGUCCUGUUUGCAUCCAACCAGUUGUUUCCAAGAGCUAGGCUUUGAUACUUAAAAUAAGAACCACUAUGGGUAUUUCUAGUUAUAGUUUCUUUCUGUUUUUAUUUGUUGUCAUAAUCCCAAACCUAGAAGCUCAUAUCGCUGAGUAUGACGAGUACUGGACGGCACGAGAAUUGGAAGCCAUUGAGAACCUGGACAAGGCCUAUCACUCCAACCCGGAGGAGGUGGUCCGCCAUUACAAUGACCACUUCUCUAGGACCAUGCUCGAGUUUUAUAUCACCAAAAGGGUGUUGGCAGAAUCAAAAAAGGGUCCCUGUGAGGUUACCAACCACGUUGACAGUUGCUGGCGAUGUGAUCCUGACUGGGAAAAGAAUAGGAAGAAGUUGGCCAACUGUGCCCCUGGAUUUGCUCGAGGUACUACCGGUGGAAAGGAUGGUGAGUUUUACGUGGUCACUGACCCUAUUGAUAAUGCUGCUGACCCCAAGCCUGGAACUCUGCGUCAUGCUGUCACCCAAACUGGACCACUUUGGAUCACUUUCAAAGGGUCCAUGACCAUCAAGCUGCAACAGGAGCUCAUUGUUACAAGUGAUAAGACCAUUGAUGCGAGGGGAGCCAAUGUGGAAAUUUGUAAUGGUGCUGGUAUCACUAUCCAAUUUGUGAAGAAUAUCAUUAUCCAUGGCCUUCAAAUCCAUCACAUUAUUCCCGCCAAGGGUGGCAAGAUCAAGGAUGGUGAAAACCACCAUGGGUUACGGGGUGACAGCGACGGAGACGGGGUGUCUAUUUUUGGAUCAACCAAUGUUUGGCUUGACCAUCUUGCCCUUCACCAUUGCGCCGAUGGCCUUAUCGAUGUCGUUCAAGGAUCAACUGCCGUUACCGUUUCUAACUGCCACUUCACUGACCAUAACGAUGUAAGCUUACUUUCCUUUCAAUUUUAAACUACGCACGAUGAGGAAUUUUUUGAUUGACAAAAAUAAUACAAUUGAAAUGAAAAAAAUUACAGGUGAUGUUGUUUGGAGCAAGCGACUCUUACAGUGCCGACAAGAAGAUGCAGGUCACUGUUGCUUUGAACCACUUCGGUAAAGGAUUGGUAGAGAGGAUGCCUAGGUGUCCGAUUUGGUUUUAUUCAUGUCGUCAACAAUGACUACAAUCACUGGUUCCUGUAUGCCAUUGGCGGCACCAGCAACCCUACAAUUAUCAGCCAGGGAAAUAGGUAUUCAGCGCCAGGCUUUGGGGCUAAAGAGGUGACCUGUAGGGGCCUCUUAAAGCCGGGACAGUGGAAGAAUUGGAAUUGGGUAUCACAAGGUGACCACUUCGAGAACGGUGCCUUCUUUACACCAUCAGGUAAUCCAAGUGCCAGCAAGCAAUUUGGCGCCGACAAAAUGAUGCCUUUCAAACCUGGUCAAAUGGUCCCCGAGCUCACAAAGUAUGCCGGACCACUAAGCUGCACAAUCGGCCGUCCUUGCUAAAAAUGCUAUUUUUAUAUGCAUUUGUCCUCCCUUUUUUACGUACAAUAUUUGAUACCCAAGCAUAGUACAUUUGGUAUC
Molecule: long non-coding RNA, 10378 nt
Filed under: Gossypium barbadense (sea-island cotton)
Lineage: Eukaryota; Viridiplantae; Streptophyta; Magnoliopsida; Malvales; Malvaceae
Description: long non-coding RNA (GBAR_LNC016476)
Source: RNAcentral